CCUACGGGGGGCAGCAGUCGAGAAUCAUUCACAAUGGGGGAAACCCUGAUGGUGCGACGCCGCGUGGGGGAAUGAAGGUCUUCGGAUUUUAAACCCCUGUCAUGUGGGAGCAAAUUAAAAAGAUAGUACCACAAGAGGAAGAGACAGCUAACCCUGUGCCAGCAGCCGAGGUAAUACGGAGGGCUCAAGCGUUGUUCGGAAUCACUGGGCGUAAAGCGCUCGAAGGCGGUAGGUCAAGUCAAGGGUGAAAUCCCCGAGCUCAACGUGGGAACUGCAUUUGAAACUAGUAAACUGGAGUGUGUGAGAGGAUAGUGGAAUUCCAGGUGUAGGAGUGAAAUCCGUAGAUAUCUGGAGGAACAGCAGUGGCGAAGGCGACUAUCUGGAACAUAACUGACGCUGAGGAGCGAAAGCGUGGGUAGCAAACAGGAUUAGAUACCCUUGUAGUC
RNAcentral lists this ribosomal RNA (446 nucleotides) under uncultured bacterium. RNAcentral describes it as "partial 16S ribosomal RNA". It matches the Rfam family "Bacterial small subunit ribosomal RNA", at positions 338 to 795 of the family's 1533-position model. The record is from RNAcentral.